GACGAACGCUGGCGGCGUGCUUAACACAUGCAAGUCGAGCGAUGAAGCACCUUCGGGUGUGAAUUAGCGGCGAACGGGUGAGGAACACGCGAGAAAUCUGCCUUCAACACUGGGAUAACUCCGGGAAACCGGGGCGAAUACCGGAUAUGAAACCUGCGGGCAUCCGCGGGUUUGGAAAGUUUUUCGGUUGAAGAUGAUCACGCGGCCUAUCAGCUUGUUGGUGAGGUAAUGGCUCACCAAGGCGACGACGGGUAGCCGGCCUGAGAGGGCGACCGGCCACACUGGGACUGAGACACGGCCCAGACUCCUACGGGGGGCAGCAGGGGGGAAUAUUGGGCAAUGGAGGAAACUCUGACCCAGCGACGCCGCGUGCGGGAUGAAGGCCUUCGGGUUGUAAACCGCUUUCAACAGGGAAGAAGCGAAAGUGACGGUACCUGCAGAAGAAGCACCGGCUAACUAUGUGCCAGCAGCCGCGGUAA
Molecule: ribosomal RNA, 479 nt
Filed under: uncultured bacterium
Lineage: Bacteria
Description: partial 16S ribosomal RNA
Rfam family: Bacterial small subunit ribosomal RNA
Source: RNAcentral